AGACAGCUGGCGGCGCGUCUUAAGCAUGCAAGUCGAACGGCAAGAGGUAGCAAUACCUCCUAGAGUGGCGGACUGGUGAGUAACACGUGGGUGACAUACCCUUCAGAUGGGGAUAGCUAUUAGAAAUAGUAGAUAAUACCGAAUACGAGCACAGGGGUUUAGAGAUCUGUGAGGAAAGGAGCUAAGGCUCCGCUGAAGGAUGGCCUGCGGCCCAUUAGCUAGUUGGUGAGGUAAGAGCCCACCAAGGCGAUGAUGGGUAUCCGGCCUUAGAGGGUGAACGGACACAUUGGGACUGAGAUACGGCCCAGACUCCUACGGGAGGCAGCAGCUAAGAAUAUUCCGCAAUGGACGAAAGUCUGACGGAGCGACGCCCGCGUGGAUGAAGAAGGCCGGAAGGUUGUAAAAUCCUUUUGAAACUGAAGAAUAAGCGUUGUAGGGAAUGACAGCGUGGUGACAGUAGGUUUUAAAUAAGCAACGGCUAAUUACGUGCCAGCCGCGGC
This 500-nucleotide ribosomal RNA is filed under the name uncultured bacterium. RNAcentral's name for it is "bacterial SSU rRNA". It matches the Rfam family "Bacterial small subunit ribosomal RNA", at positions 35 to 518 of the family's 1533-position model. The record is from RNAcentral.